This 97-nucleotide signal recognition particle RNA is filed under the name Candidatus Scatovivens faecipullorum. RNAcentral's name for it is "signal recognition particle sRNA small type". It matches the Rfam family "Bacterial small signal recognition particle RNA". Rfam says of the family: The signal recognition particle (SRP) is a universally conserved ribonucleoprotein involved in the co-translational targeting of proteins to membranes. Lineage: Bacteria; Bacillati; Bacillota; Clostridia; Eubacteriales; Clostridiaceae. The record is from RNAcentral.
GGAAGGUAUGCUUCAAUAAAAAGCUAUGAAUCUCGUCAGGUUCGGAAGAAAGCAGCGAUAAGUAGUGUAUUUAUGUGAGCUCUGCAUACCUUCCUUA